Long non-coding RNA from Oncorhynchus keta (chum salmon), 551 nucleotides. RefSeq lists it as uncharacterized. Lineage: Eukaryota; Metazoa; Chordata; Actinopteri; Salmoniformes; Salmonidae. The record is from RefSeq and is a predicted model, not a curated record. The transcript has 4 exons.
GUCUAGUAGAGCUGUGUUGUGAUGGGCCAGGUCUAGUAGAGCUGUGUUGUGAUGGGACGGGUCUAGUUGUGCUGUCCUGAGGCGGGUCUGGUCUGGUAAAUAUGUGCUGUGUUGGGCCUGGUCUAGUAGAGCUGUGUUGUGAUGGGACGGGUCUAGUUGUGCUGUCCUGAGGCGGGUCUGGUCUGGUAAAUAUGUGCUGUGUUGGGCCUGGUCUAGUAGAGCUGUGUUGUGAUGGGACGGGUCUAGUUGUGCUGUCCUGAGGCGGGUCUGGUCUGGUAAAUAUGUGCUGUGUUGGGCCUGGUCUAGUAGAGCUGUGUUGUGAUGGGCCAGGUCUAGUAGAGCUGUGUUGUGAUGGGACGGGUCUAGUUGUGCUGUCCUGAGGCGGGUCUGGUCUGGUAAAUAUGUACUGUGUUGGGCCUGGUCUAGUAGAGCUGUGUUGUGAUGGGCCAGGUCUAGUAGAGCUGUGUUGUGAUGGGCCAGGUCUAGUAGAGCUGUGUUGUGAUGGGACGGGUCUAGUUGUGCUGUCCUGAGGCGGGUCUGGUCUGGUAAAU